AAAACAAUGUUUUGACCAAGAAUUUUUUUAAAAGCAAUAGAGUCUCGAAUUUAUUCAAAUCCUUUAGCCUUAAACUAAGCUUUAGAAAAAAUCUCUUAACCUAGAUAGUUCGUAAUAGCGUAAAAAGACCACUGGAUUGUGAACCUCAAGCCAAGUUUUAAAAAUGGUAGACUUCAUCAUAAAACUAUGUUUAUAGGUGAUUUUAUUUGAGUAUCAUAAACCUAAAAAUCAUUUUU
This 236-nucleotide small RNA is filed under the name Arabidopsis thaliana (thale cress). RNAcentral's name for it is "ATSL048980". Lineage: Eukaryota; Viridiplantae; Streptophyta; Magnoliopsida; Brassicales; Brassicaceae. The record is from RNAcentral.